Molecule: ribosomal RNA, 630 nt
Filed under: Triticum aestivum (bread wheat)
Lineage: Eukaryota; Viridiplantae; Streptophyta; Magnoliopsida; Poales; Poaceae
Description: partial small subunit ribosomal RNA
Source: RNAcentral
ACAAUACUAAGAACUCCAACAACAAUUUUGUUGACAGAGCUUUGGCAAUUGGGGCAAGUGUUGGGUGGAUAUGUCAUUAGCAACGCAUCUUCACGGCUAUGGUGGCAGGACUCGCUGUUGACAGAGCUUUGGCAAUUGGGAGAUCUAAGGCAAGUUCAUUUGGGGAAGUGUAACGCUGUCCUGCACGCAAUGGUGAAGGCGGCCGUCGACCGUUCCGACGGGCAGGUUCGGUCGUUCGCCGGCAAGCUGUUCGUCACCAAUGAACUCAUCAAGUACAUCGUGGAAAGGUGUUUUUUCUUGCCCUACUUAGCUUUCUGUUCGAAUUUUUGUUACUUAUUACGAUCAAUUACAGCUCUGCAUCAGUCAAAAUCCCCAUCUCCCUCGCUGACUAGCCUUCGGCUUGUUUCCUGCCAUGUCCACCACCUCGCCAGUGUUAUGCAAGAGUCGGCUCCGAUGGAGCUGCGUUCCCUUGAGCUCGAAGACACUUACCUCACCGUUAGAGACCUGACCUCUAUCGUCGAGAGCUGCCCUCUCCUAGAGGCUCUUUGGGUGCAAGACUGCGUUCAGGUCUAUAAGAAGGACGAGCAGGCCCUGCAAGCGAAAUUCGCUAGGAUCAAGACCCUAAAGCUU